This 921-nucleotide long non-coding RNA is filed under the name Homo sapiens (human). Its description in RNAcentral is "HSALNT0050262". The record is from RNAcentral. Lineage: Eukaryota; Metazoa; Chordata; Mammalia; Primates; Hominidae.
AGGGCUUCCGCCUCCCGUCGCUCCUCCCCACCGUGAGGCGAACCUCAGCCGGUUUCCCAGCCCCGCCGAGGCCCGCUGGGGCGAAGCGGAGCCCCGGGGGGCCCUGAGGAAACCGGCGCGGGUUCGUUUAAUUACGCCCUUCUCGCCAGACCUCUGGCUGGCCCUGAGCUGCUCAGAAGCCCAUCUGCGCGGCAUGCCCGUGCGAUCUGAGACAACUGGCAGCUGUCUUCCUUUGCAAAACGAGACUGUUAAUAAAACCUACCCCAGGGUAGGACGGACUGUUCGAUGAAUGGAUAAGCAACCUGGAGCAUAUCCAUACAAUGGAAUACUACUGAGCAAGAUGAAAGAACAAACUGCUGAUACACACAGCAACACAUCUGACUCUCAAGUGAAGAAAGCCCCUUUCAAGAGGCUGCAUAUAAUAGACUCCAUUCAUAUGACAUCCAGAAAAGGCAAAACUAUAGGUCGGGCACAGUGGCUCACGCCUGUAAUCCCAGCACUUUGGGAGGCCGAGGUGGGCAGAUCACGAGGCCAGGAGUUCAAGACCAGCCUGGCCAACAUGGUGAAAACCCAUCUCUAUGAAAAAUACAAAAAUUAGCUGGGCGUGGUGGUGGGCACCUAUAAUCCCAGCUACUCGGGAGGCUGAGGCAGGAGAAUCAAUUGAACCAGGGAGGCAGGGGUUGCAAUGAGCUGAGAUGACACCAUUGCACUCCAGCCUGGGCAACAGGGCAAGGAUCCAUCUCAAAAAAAAAAAAAGGCAAAACUGUAGAGAGAAAAAAUGAUCAGUUCUUGCCAGGGGGCUCAAGAUGGGAUGAGGUAUUUACUACGAAAGCGCAUGAGAGAAUUUUGAGGGGAGAGAAAGGUGAUAGAUUUGUUCUAUGUUUUGAUUAUAGUGGUGAUUAAAUAACUCUGUAUUUGCCA